Molecule: long non-coding RNA, 415 nt
Organism: Ctenopharyngodon idella (grass carp)
Lineage: Eukaryota; Metazoa; Chordata; Actinopteri; Cypriniformes; Xenocyprididae
Exons: 2
Source: RefSeq, a predicted model, not a curated record
CAAAAGCUCCGGUCCGGUAACCGCGCUCAUCUACGAUAACGCCGCGCUACUGGGCUGAUCAUCUUCUGUGGGUGGUCUCGGACGGGUCCAGAUUGGAUGAAGCUGAACUAUCUCUCAAUCUCAACAUGCGUGAUGCUACAGUAGCGCCACAGCUGACGUGUCAUCUCCACCAACUUCAUAGCAACCUGUAGCUGCUGCUGCUUCUUCUUCUUUUGAGAUUUUAUUGGCGGUUGACAGACAACGAACUGCUGUAUUACCGCCACCGUCUGGCAUGGAGUGUGGAUCGGAAUCUUUCCUCUCUCACAAAUUAGUUAUUUAAAGAUACUGAUAUUUAUUUUCUGAGUUAUUUUGUAGAUUACCUCCUAGCAUAAACUGCGUUUUUAUCUUUGCUAGAUUUUGUAUUAAAAUUCUUCUU